UGUCGUCAGCUCGUGUCGUGAGAUGUUGGGUUAAGUCCCGNNNNNNNNNNAACCCUCAUCCUUAGUUACCAUCAGGUAAUGCUGGGGACUUUAAGGAAACUGCCAGUGAUAAACUGGAGGAAGGUGGGGAUGAUGUCAAGUCAUCAUGGCCCUUAUGGAGUGGGCUANNNNNNUGCUACAAUGGUGGCUACAAUGGGCUGCAAAGUCGCGANGCUAAGCUAAUCCCUUAAAAGCCAUCUCAGUUCGGAUUGUACUCUGCAACUCGAGUGCAUGAAGUUGGAAUCGCUAGUAAUCGUGGAUCAGCAUGCCACGGUGAAUACGUUCUCGGGUCUUGUACACACUGCCCGUCACGCCAUGGGAAUUG
Molecule: ribosomal RNA, 364 nt
Filed under: Wolbachia pipientis
Lineage: Bacteria; Pseudomonadati; Pseudomonadota; Alphaproteobacteria; Rickettsiales; Anaplasmataceae
Description: partial 16S ribosomal RNA
Rfam family: Bacterial small subunit ribosomal RNA
Source: RNAcentral